RNAcentral lists this long non-coding RNA (255 nucleotides) under Carica papaya (papaya). RNAcentral's name for it is "long non-coding RNA (CPAP_LNC004445)". The record is from RNAcentral. Lineage: Eukaryota; Viridiplantae; Streptophyta; Magnoliopsida; Brassicales; Caricaceae.
CCAGCUACAUGGUUUUCUUCCAGUAUCCUUAAGUUAUCAGCAUUUAAAUCAUUGCAAAGUGUAAUGUUCACCUCAUCCCCAUGGCUUAGAUUGAAGUAUUUUUUAUUUAGGACAUCCAUGGUAUCAAUGCUACCUACACAAGAUAAAUCACAAGGAUAUUUCAUUGCAUCAUACAUAUUAAACCUUACCAUUUCACUGUUGAAUUCCAUAGUAAGGCUUCCAUCUUGAUCAUCUAUUUUUGUUCUAGUGGUACUG